This is a long non-coding RNA of Diceros bicornis minor, 814 nucleotides long. RefSeq lists it as uncharacterized. The transcript is spliced from 3 exons. Lineage: Eukaryota; Metazoa; Chordata; Mammalia; Perissodactyla; Rhinocerotidae. The record is from RefSeq and is a predicted model, not a curated record.
UCCUCUUCUCGGAUGGGGAGGGGGGCGGGGAGAAGGCUGUACCUCCAACUCCAGCCGCCCGCCUGGGCCUGGGAGGCGGGAAAUGGGGUGUCUUGCGCUUCACUGCAAGUUCAGGGUCACGGGGACUCUUGCGGGGAUCGGGAGCGGUUAGGCUUGGGCUGAUGGCUCUCUCUUUCCCAUCCCCCGUCCUUCCCUGUCUCCGCCUUUCCCUCUGGUUCCUCACGAGGACCCCCACGUCAGAGCCAACCUGGGGGAGUGGGGGCCUGAGGGAUGGACCGCCAAAGAUAGAGCCAAUCUCUCGGGGAGCUGCUGAAGAAGGCAGGCAGCUCAGGAAGGAUGCUCACAUCGGCAUCGCCAAGAGCACGUUUCCCUCGGAUCGCUGAAAUUUGAUUAAUGGUCGUAGGAGACAACGUUAAAGAGCUGGAGGGAAAACAGCUGUUCCUGGAUCACACCAGAAUGGAGAACCAAGCUCCUCCCUCUAACAGAAUGCCUUUGCUUUCUUUGCCUGGAUUGGGAGGAUGAUUUUAGCCCUGGAAGGGAAAAACAAGUCUUUGCUCAUGGCCUUGAGUACAGUUUUAAUCCUCUGAAUAUGACUUUGAAGUUUAAUCUCAUUGAAUGGCCUGUACCUCACGAGGAGGAUGGAAGAAUAACUUACUGGGAAGUAUUACUGAUGUUCACAUUUUGUUAAUAAUUGCUAUAUACAUGUUUGGUUUUCAUUUUGAUAAAUGAAAUAUACAUAUUUUGCUGCUCUUCAAUACUAUUGUUUUAUCUGGGUUUAAAAUAGUAAUUUAGCUAUAGAUUAACAUUCUAUGAA